CAGCAGCCACGGUAAUACGUAGGUGGCAAGCGUUGUCCGGAAUUAUUGGGCGUAAAGGGCUCGCAGGCGGUUUCUUAAGUCUGAUGUGAAAGCCCCCGGCUCAACCGGGGAGGGUCAUUGGAAACUGGGAAACUUGAGUGCAGAAGAGGAGAGUGGAAUUCCACGUGUAGCGGUGAAAUGCGUAGAGAUGUGGAGGAACACCAGUGGCGAAGGCGACUCACUGGUCUGUAACUGACGCUGAGGAGCGAAAGCGUGGGGAGCGAACAGGAUUAGAUACCCCCGUAGUCCCUGUCUCUUAUAC
This 301-nucleotide ribosomal RNA is filed under the name uncultured bacterium. RNAcentral describes it as "partial 16S ribosomal RNA". It matches the Rfam family "Bacterial small subunit ribosomal RNA", at positions 509 to 807 of the family's 1533-position model. The record is from RNAcentral.